GACGGACGCUGGCGGCGUGCCUAAUACAUGCAAGUAGAACGCUGAAGGAAGGAGCUUGCUCUUUCUGGAUGAGUUGCGAACGGGUGAGUAACGCGUAGGUAACCUGCCUGGUAGCGGGGGAUAACUAUUGGAAACGAUAGCUAAUACCGCAUAAAAUUGAUUAUUGCAUGAUAGUCAAUUAAAAGGUGCAACUGCACCACUACCAGAUGGACCUGCGUUGUAUUAGCUAGUUGGUGGGGUAACGGCUCACCAAGGCGACGAUACAUAGCCGACCUGAGAGGGUGAUCGGCCACACUGGGACUGAGACACGGCCCAGACUCCUACGGGAGGCAGCAGUAGGGAAUCUUCGGCAAUGGACGGAAGUCUGACCGAGCAACGCCGCGUGAGUGAAGAAGGUUUUCGGAUCGUAAAGCUCUGUUGUAAGAGAAGAACGAGUGUGAGAGUGGAAAGUUCACACUGUGACGGUAUCUUACCAGAAAGGGACGGCUAACUACGUG
RNAcentral lists this ribosomal RNA (497 nucleotides) under uncultured bacterium. RNAcentral describes it as "partial 16S ribosomal RNA". It matches the Rfam family "Bacterial small subunit ribosomal RNA", at positions 28 to 507 of the family's 1533-position model. The record is from RNAcentral.